This 28-nucleotide small RNA is filed under the name Bombyx mori (domestic silkworm). RNAcentral describes it as "ovarian small RNA-3648". Lineage: Eukaryota; Metazoa; Arthropoda; Insecta; Lepidoptera; Bombycidae. The record is from RNAcentral.
UGAGAGCUGGCGGCAAAGUCGGUGGAGG